This 238-nucleotide long non-coding RNA is filed under the name Mytilus galloprovincialis (Mediterranean mussel). Lineage: Eukaryota; Metazoa; Mollusca; Bivalvia; Mytilida; Mytilidae. The record is from RNAcentral.
CGGUACUUGUCUAUCCCAAAUUCACGUAUUUGGUUUUGAUGUUAUAUUUGUUAUUCUCGGGGGAAUUUUUCUGAUGCUUGGUCCAUUUCUGUGUGUGUUACAUUGUAGUGUUGUGUCGUUGUUCUCCUCUUAUAUUUAAUACGUUUUCCUCAGUUUUAGUUUGUUACCCCGAUUUUGUUUUUUGUCCAUGGAUUUAUGAGUUUGAACAGCGGUAUACUACUGUUGCCUUUAUUUAUCA